This 4308-nucleotide long non-coding RNA is filed under the name Homo sapiens (human). Its description in RNAcentral is "HSALNT0363227". The stretch from base 1542 to 1620 matches the Rfam family "mir-192/215 microRNA precursor family". The record is from RNAcentral. Lineage: Eukaryota; Metazoa; Chordata; Mammalia; Primates; Hominidae.
CUUCCUCCUUGUGCCCCGAAGGCCAGCCCGGCACUCAGAAGCUUUGGAGUCUCCCAAAAUGCCUGCUGGGUCUCUGCAGGACUGGCACCUGUCACCGGAACCUGUCUGGGAGGGACGAGAACACGCUUUGCAAGAGGAAGCUCUGCCUCACAGAGCCCUGGGCUCACUCAGGGACCCUGGCCAGCAGCUGCUUCCUCUCCCCACAGCGGAGAGAGACCCAAGGGUCCCAGGGCGGAUGCUUCCCACCAGGCCAGCCCAGCGUGCAGGGUGGCCUCGUAAGUCCUGAUUGACAUAUGGACAGUGGUUCAGAGAGGUUACGCUACUUGCUCAAGGUCACCCAGCUCCCAGGCCCCUGCUGUCUUCCAGGCCACUGAGGUCCUAAGCGUCCUUCCAGGCGAGCCACUGCUCACAGCCUGUUCCUCAUGUUCUGCGGCAGGUUUGUGUAUCUACAUCUUUUCCAGUUCCCUGUCGUCCCCCUUCCUACACCUCGUCAUCCACUAUCCCUGUUUGUUUUCUCUGUUCCUUUCUAGUUCUCUACCUGCUCCUCUUAUUUUUAUUUGAGACAGGGUCUUUCUUUGUCACUGAGGCUGGAGUGCAGUGGCACAAUCCCAGCUCACUGGAGCCUCGACCUCCCAGGCUCAAGUGAUCCCCCGCCUCAGCCUCUUGAGUAGCUGGGACCACAGGCAUGCAUCACCACACCAGGCUAAUUUUUUAUUUUUUGUAGAGAUGGGGUCUCACUGUGUUGCCCAGGCUGGUCUUGCACUCCUGGGCUCAAGAGAUCCUCCCACCUUGGUCUCCCAAAGUGCUGGGAUGCCAGGUGUGCACCGCCAUCCUCGGCCUUACUCUUCUCUUCCUCUCUCAGCCCCUCUGCCUCACUAUCCCUCUUUCUGUGCCCUCCCCCACACAGCCCCCCACACUUCUUCUUAGUCUCAUCUUCAGCUUCCCAUACGAGGCCAUCCUCAUGAAAUCAGGCACUGGGAGGUCCCUGGGGACUGACAAGUGCCAGCUGUCCCUUGCUGUCUCUCUGCCCCAUGGCUGCAGCAGGGAGGGUGGGCAAAGGGCAGAGGUGACAGUGGCCAAACCUGAAACUGAGGCCCAGCUCUGGUUGGGAAAGAAACAAGGAAACAAAAUAACUUGGGGACAGAGGGCGUGGGGUCAUCAGAGCGGGCAAAGGCUGCCCAGGAGUUGUAAAUCCGAGCCGCUCCCGGCUUUAUGAGGCCGAUUUGGGGUUGAGCCUGGACUUUGCCCAGGAAGGAGUGCUGGCAGCACACGGGGCGCCAGGUGUGGGCCCCGGAUGAUAAGAAGCCUCGGUGAAAAGACCAUGGACCUGGGGCCACGAAGACUGGGGAGCCCAGCAACUCCAUGUGGAAGUGCCCACUGGUUCCAGUGGGGCUGCUGUUAUCUGGGGCGAGGGCCAGUACCCACGAAGAAGGAGAGGCAGGUGCUGGCCAGCAGACCAGCCAGGACUACCGUGGCGACGCUCCCAGGCCAGAUGGUGGCGGGUAGUGGAGGGCUGUCGGUGGGCUGCCGAGACCGAGUGCACAGGGCUCUGACCUAUGAAUUGACAGCCAGUGCUCUCGUCUCCCCUCUGGCUGCCAAUUCCAUAGGUCACAGGUAUGUUCGCCUCAAUGCCAGCCACCAGGACCUGCAGGGAUAGGGGAGGGCCGGGGGUGUCCAGCAGUCAGCAGAGAUCCUGCGACCCCAGUGCAGCACUCAUGGUCCCACCUCCCUCUGUCUCAUUCCCCGUGAAUGAGCCUGAACAGCUUCAGUCCUGCCCCUGCCCUGCCUGCCCUGUGGCACCUCUAUGCUUUGCCCAUGCUGUUCCCUUGGGCUGCAAUACUCUUCCUAGCUUAUUUGCCAGGCUCACUCUUACUAACCCUUUCAAGCUCUGUCCAAGCAUUUGCUGCCUCCAGAAGGCCUUAUUGAAGCUUCUAAGUCCCCACCUGGGCACCCCCACACAGUGCUGCCGCAGAGCACUGCCCUCUCGGAGCCCCGGUGCUGGUUUCUGCUUAUGUCUCGCUCCUCUCCCCAUCUGUGAGCUCAGUUCCCAGCCCAGGCGCGUGCCCAAUAAAUGUUUGCUGAACCAAUCCUGAGCCUCUGUCUUGCACCCUGAGGAAGCACCCACCGACAUGCAGUGUGGCCAAGGGGGGCUGAGUGCUCUAGGCCCAGUGUUUGUGCUGGAGCCCCCCCACCCAGGAUGGGGCCCUGAGCCAGCCUCCCCAUCUGCUUCCUACUCUCCCCUCCUUUGCCAGUCUCAUCUCCCUGGAGCACAGCCCUGUGGUUGGUGGAGCAGCUUCUCCAGCCCCUAGGAUUCCUAAGAGGGCCCAGGACCCCAGCUGCUGGUAGAGGAAGAGCAGCCAACCCAGGACAGGACAGCUGACCCCACCCCUGUCCCGCCUCCCACAACAGCCUCAUUUCCACCUAUUUCUUUGUGGUGUUUGUUUGUUUGUUUUGAGACAGAGUCUUGCUCUGUUGCCCAGGCUGGAAUGCAACAGGCUUCCUCCCAGGAGGAAGCCUCCCCUCCUGGCAUGAUCUCAGCUCACUGCAACCUCUGCCUCCUGGGUUCAAGCGAUUCUCCUGCCUCAGCCUCCCAAAUAGCUGAGAUUACAGGCAUGCACCACCAUGCCCAGCUAAUUUUUGUGUUUUUAGUAGAGACUGGGUUUCACCAUGUUGGCCAGGCUGGUCUCGAACUCCUGACCUCAGAUAAUCUGCCCACCUCGGCCUCCCAGAGUGCCGGGAUUAUAGGUGUGAGCCACCGCGCCCAGCCCCACCUGUUUCUUAUACAACGGGGUUCUGAGGAAAUUUUCCUUUUUUUUUUUUUUUUUUUUUGAGACAGGGUCUUGCUCGCUUUGUCACCCAGGCUGGAGCGCAGUGGUACAAUCACAGCUUGCUGCAGCCUCCACCUGCCAGGGCUCACACAGUCCUCCCAUCUCAGCCUCCCAAAUAGCUGUGACUACAGGCACGUGCCACCAUGCCUGGUUAAUUUUUGUAUUUUUCGUAGAGAUGGGGUUUCACCAUGUUGCCCAGGCUGGUCUCAAAUUCCUGGCCUCAAGCAGUCCUGCCUCAGCCCCCCAAACUGCUGGGAUUACAGGCAUGAGCCACUGUGCCCUGUCAGAAUUUUUCAUUUGAAUAAAAAGGUUUCUGGUACUACAAAAUAAAAUUUGUAAAAUGGGAAAUAGAGACCUAGGAAUAAAUGUCAAAUUGCUUAAUAACAGGCGUUGGCUAUUGAGCCCUUUCUGUCUGCUGGGCACGCACAUCCAGGACCUGGUCCUCCUGGCAUCCAUCAUGAACCUGUUUGGGACAGGAGGACACAGGCUCAGAGAGGGUGCACAUUUGCUGAAGUCACAGAGCAAGUUGGACCUUCUCCUGGGGACUGUAGGCAGCCAACAAACAUCUGGCCCCUAAGACACUGUCUCUCUCCCCUUCCCACAGGCAGCUCUGCUCACACUGUCCUGGCUGCUCUGAAUCCCUGGGCCCCGAUUGGCCCCUGCCGUGGCCCAGCUCAGCAACCCCUCCCUGCAGACCAUCCCAUGACUCUGCAGGCGCUGCUCCCCUCUCUGCCCACACCCCGGCUUCGUGGGCCUCUCCCGCCACCCUUAUCUCAUUCCCUACAGAGUUAAGGAGCCCUGUGUGCUUAUCUAAUCCUGUGCUAGUUUCAGACUCCUUGAGGGCAAGGUCCAUGACUUACUCAUCCUCCCUGGCUGCUUCCCCCACCCACCAGCAUAGUAGGUGUUCAGGAUACAUGGGCUGGAUGGUAGGGCCCUGGACUCUAACCCUCUUGGGGCUGUCAGGCCUCAGACUCAGAGCACUGGCAUAGGGUGAAAGGGGAGCAGACAGCAGCCACCCUGCCCUGGGGGUCCUCCUGCAUCUGCCUCUGCAGAGCACUGCGAUCCCACAAAGGCCUGCGAGGGCUAUUGGAGACCUGUUCCAAUGCAUGAGCAAGGCGGAUCCAGCACCCUCCCCCAGCUCCUUGAGCCCACUGACCUGUGUCCUUUACCCAGCAGGCCCUGGGCCCAUGCACAUUUCCCUGGCCUGGGUCUCACCUCCAACCCCUCUCAGAACUCCUCAAGACCUGCCCAAGGGUCACUCCCUCGCGGACACCUGCCUGGCCCCCCGCCCCGCCCCCCAUUACCCCACUCACUGGCUCCCUGGAUGCUCUGUGGCUGGGAUGUUAGCGCCCCCAUCAUGCCCCAUCACCCACACCGGGCUAUUUCCCCCACCAGCCUGAAAGCCCCCAGGAGUGGCGGCCACUGACUUUUUUCCUGUAGCCUCAGACUCAAAGGAGGCACUUAAUAAAUGCACACAGAA